Molecule: unclassified non-coding RNA, 221 nt
Filed under: rhizosphere metagenome
Description: partial ribosomal RNA internal transcribed spacer region
Source: RNAcentral
GUAGGUGAACCUGCGGAAGGAUCAUUACCGAGUUCAUGCCCGUAAAGGGUAGACCUCCCACCCGUGUAUAUGUCUACUUUGUUGCUUUGGCGGGCCGCCGCAAGGCCCCGGCCGCUCCCGGCCGGGCCGCGCCCGCCAGAGGACCCCCAAACUCGAACUGUGAGUGUCGUCUGAGUACUAUCUAAUAGUUAAAACUUUCAACAACGGAUCUCUUGGUUCUG